CCCGCGGGGCUCCUCGGAGAAGGGGAGGCGGCAGGGCCGGCCCCAGCCGGGCUCCCGCGGCCGGGGUGGGGAGGAGGAGAGGCCGCGCAGUGCGGGUUCAUUCAUGUAGCAGACAUUUAUUGGGUGACUGUCUGCAGUACUGUAAAAGGUUGCAAAGGAAAUGGAAGAUCUGGUCCCUGCAGGUCAGGAUUUUACAAUCUAAUUAGGAACACAAGGCAUAUCUAUACAUGAAAGAGCUAGAAGAUAAUCUCCAGGUAUUAUAUAAGCAAGAGAAUGGAAAAGUCUGGGACGUUUUUUUCAUAGGGGGAGGGACUUGGUACCUGUAACAUUGGUGGGGAUCACUAGAGGAAAAUCGAGGUCAAAUCAGUGGAAGACAGCCUGUGUGUAUCCCCACUCUGGGGAACAAUGGGGGACAACAGGGACCCGAGUGUCACUUGGCUGCAGUGUCUGCUCUGCCAGUUACAAACUGUGGGACCUUGGGCAUGUUUUUAGCCACUCAGAAGGGGAUAAAGCUUGUCUCAUGAGAUUGUUGUGUGAUGCAAAUGAAAUUACACAUGUAAAGCUUUUCAAGCUGCUGGGUAAAUGUUCCUGGAUCAUGUACAUCUAAGAAGUCCUCAUGUUCCAAACUGACCUCAUGUUAACCUUCGUUGUAAUCCCCGCUAGACUGUAAGCUCCGCGAGGGCAGGGACCAGGUCUGUUGUGCUCACCAUGUACCACCAUGUCUAGCAGAGUGUCUGGCACUUGUGGGUGCUCAAUAAAGAUUUGCUGAAUAAGGGAAUAAAUGAGCAAA
Molecule: long non-coding RNA, 790 nt
Organism: Loxodonta africana (African savanna elephant)
Lineage: Eukaryota; Metazoa; Chordata; Mammalia; Proboscidea; Elephantidae
Exons: 2
Source: RefSeq, a predicted model, not a curated record